CUUAGUGGGUCGAAGAAAAAAGUCCGGUUGGCUCCAACGAAGAAGAGGUGCUGGGAAGGAAGCCGGUGCAUGCCGCCGAAGAUGGGGCUACAGGCAGCGCAGGCGUGGACGGCGGCGGGAGGCCAGGAGCAGGCCGGCGGCGACGCCGCAGCCUUGGCCGGAGUUGCCUCCGUUGUUCAAAGACUACUACGUCUCCUCCCUGGAGCAGUGGUUCCCCCACCGCGAGAGGCAGACGAGGAGCGACGAGUGGAGGAGGUUGCCGCGGCGACGAGUUCGUAACCUCUCCGACGGCAAGUUCCGCCUGCCUAUGUCGAAGACCUGCACCUCCCCUGCGUUCUAUGUGAUGCACCUCGUUCCCAGGCCCGUCGGGUAGCACGAGUAGGUGCCGAAGCCGCGCAGCCGCAAGGUGACCUCCAUGUUGUAGGGCCUCGACCGGUUCUUCAUGUUCCACAUGCGGCACCUGGACGACCCGAAGCCGACCUCGCUCUUCCGCGACCACGUCAUGCUGCGGUGGUAGACCUACCUCGUCCAGAGGCUGAAGGAGUCCCUCCAGCAGGUCAGCGGUAGGCAGCAGCAGCCGUUGUCGAAUCCACCGAAGUGCUGCGACAAGCGCCGCUGCCUCCACGGCCUCGACCAGGCCCCGCAGCACGACGAGUUGAGGCGGCCGGUCAAGCGCCUGGGGUUGCGCGGCGGGUUCCGACUUCUCCGCCGCCGCCGCCUCCUCCUCCACUCGCGCGACUGCUCCGAGUAGCACUUCGGCGAGUUCCUCCGGAAGGUCGCCCAGCACGAGCCCAAGGAGAAGACCGUCCGGUUCGUCGGCCGGUCCCAGCUCUUUCAGGAGUUUUCGCACAUGUUUCUAGGCUCGUUGCACCUGCUCAUGGACUAGUCGAGCUAGUGCCGCGGCUGCCGGCUGGGCUUGCGGCCGCUCCACAUGAUGUCCGAGUACAGCGCCAAGCACCGCUUGGUCUCGGUCAUGUGCGACCUGUUCGACGACCCCUUCGACUGCACGGGCGACGACGACGACACCCCCCUGGACCUGGGCACCCAGCCGGGCAGGUUCCGCCGUUCCUAGGUGCUCAAGAUGCGGUUGAGGUGGCAGCAGUUGGACGUCCGGCCGGUGACGGGCGUGCUGCUCCGCGGCCUCGUCAAGUUGCGCCGCGACGAGGUCACCGAGCGCAGCGACCUCCUCCUCCGGCCGCUGUUCGGCCGGCUCGGGUCGGAGGUCCAGCACACUAAGAACAUGGACAUGGGGUUAGGCUGUCUCCCGCAAGGUCACUUCUUCUAGCACACGAAUGCCCUGGACGGCUCCUAGCACUUCUACAUAUGGGCCAUGAUCGAAUGUUCACCGUAAAUCGAACAUCGUUAUGAACGAUGCAUCUAUCCUUGUCUCAUUUAACUCUUCACAUUCUCGUAGAGAUCGGCUAUAGAUUUUCCGAUAUCUCUUCAUGUUUUAAAUAAAAUGAGGAGAUUGGAUGUGGAUCGACUUAAGGAUUUAAAAUAUCACCUCAUUUUUUAAAUGAGGCGGAGGAUUUUUGUGAGCCGGAGCUGACGUGCCUCAUUUGAAACGCCGGAGAGAUGGUGGAGGGGUGGGGGUGACGAAACAGCGACCACGUGGAGGGCUGCUGGCCGUUGGUGGGGCCGGCGAUGGAGCGGCGGAGGGAACCGGGAGCGGCGGGAAGACGGGUCAUACUCGGGAAGUGGCCGUCAACGGCCUUAGCUCCAAAAAGGGUGUGCAGCCAAGGGCGAUCAAACCGGAUUUGCAGCGGCCAGCAGGCUACGUGGUGGUGGCGGAACGUUCACAAGCUGCCAAAACGAAUCUACUUCUCCGACUCUCUCUAUUAGAAGCUCCUGAGUAGCAAUAGGCUUCUCCUUCUUCUGCCGUUACUGAAGCUUUGACAAGAACCAUACUAAAAGUUACUACUAUAAGCCGCCGACUCCUCUCCUAGUGUUAAACCGGUGUAUGUUGAGUUGGCACUAUCUUACCUCCCGGUACGGUUCUAGUUCUCUCCAAUAAAACCAGGAUUAGGUUGGAUAGACCUCUUCAUAGAAGUGUCUGCGAAAACAUACGUGUGUUCAGAAAAAGAGUGGCAAGGUUUUCGGAAACUCUUCAUAAUGUUAACCAAGUUCGAAUCUUCCUUACGUAUCCUCUCCGUUCACGUUUGGGAUACUACUUCACGUAACGCCAACAAGCUCAAAACCGUAUACCCACAAGCCGGCUACGUUAACUGCCGAUACAUGCGUAACCUCUUCUGUGUUAGAACUUCCGGCAAGCUUCCAAGUGUUUUCGUCACCAACAACACCUGACGCCAUGAACUCCCGUGGGUUAAUCUUUCUGUGGCUCUCCGAAUACCGUGUCUCACUUUGUUCUCCUACCGAUCCCUACGAACCUAGUCAACUAACUUACGUGAGCUGGACCUUCUUAGCAGGAUGUCCCACCUUUCCAGUCAUGUUUCAUGUAACGUUGUUAGGUUGCUAGUAAGAACUCCGACAACGUAGCCUCCUAGAUACUUAUACCGUAAGUAAGAAACAUCACGGACCGAGAGUGUUACUGGACUUACAGGACAGCUCUAGUUGGGACAAACGAUCCGAAUAAUGUUCUCUACGAGUAGGAACGUUGAUAUAUCAGUUACCAGUUCUGAUGUGCUACCCAAUGAUGGAACGCCUACAGUAGAUAGGGGAUACCCAGUAUAAAAAUUUUUUGUGAAGUGUAGGUU
This 2714-nucleotide ribosomal RNA is filed under the name Triticum aestivum (bread wheat). RNAcentral's name for it is "partial small subunit ribosomal RNA". The record is from RNAcentral. Lineage: Eukaryota; Viridiplantae; Streptophyta; Magnoliopsida; Poales; Poaceae.